AUGGACAAGAACAGGCUAUAUUUUGCAAGGAAAUCAGCAAUUUCCUCAGAGAUUGUUUUUGAUUUAAUACAAAGUCCUAAAGAAAUUGUCAUAUAUGAUUCUUCUUUACAGCGGGAUAAAAGUGGUGUUUUCAACGUCCUGAAUGGUGGUUGUGAAAUAUUUGUGUGCCGAUACAAAGUGGACGAAAAUGUGAAAGUGAUUCCGGCUUGCAACUCCAGGCAGAUUUGAAAACUUGUGAUGCCAGUGUUUAUACGAAGAAUUUCUUGAUUGUGGUUGAUAACUCCCAAGGAAGGAUCCUUCAGAUUAAUAUUAAUAUACGGGAAAUUUAGUUAAAUUACCGAUCAGUGUACAGAGUUCUUCAGGAAUAGCAUUCGAUAGGUCGACAAAGGAACUCAUCUACUCCGAUGGCUCAUAGAAAAUUAUAAUGUCCACAACGCUUCAUGGAAGGUAUACAAC
Saccostrea echinata is the source of this 456-nucleotide long non-coding RNA. RefSeq lists it as uncharacterized. The transcript has 3 exons. The record is from RefSeq and is a predicted model, not a curated record. Lineage: Eukaryota; Metazoa; Mollusca; Bivalvia; Ostreida; Ostreidae.